Molecule: microRNA precursor, 86 nt
Organism: Cervus hanglu yarkandensis (Yarkand deer)
Lineage: Eukaryota; Metazoa; Chordata; Mammalia; Artiodactyla; Cervidae
Gene: MIR125A
Product: microRNA 125a
Source: Ensembl
UGCCGGCCUCUGCGUCCCUGAGACCCUUUAACCUGUGAGGACGUCCAGGGUCACAGGUGAGGUUCUUGGGAGCCUGGCGUCCGGCC